GCCCCUAUAGCUCAGCUGGAUAGAGCGUCCCCCUCCUAAGGGGAAGGUCUCAGGUUCGAAUCCUGAUGGGGGCG
Non-coding RNA from Halomonas sp. PBN3, 74 nucleotides. NCBI's taxonomy places the organism in Bacteria, Pseudomonadati, Pseudomonadota, Gammaproteobacteria, Oceanospirillales, Halomonadaceae. The record is from Rfam.